Molecule: ribosomal RNA, 467 nt
Filed under: uncultured bacterium
Lineage: Bacteria
Description: partial 16S ribosomal RNA
Rfam family: Bacterial small subunit ribosomal RNA
Source: RNAcentral
GACGAACGCUGGCGGCGUGCUUAACACAUGCAAGUCGAACGGAAAGGCCUCUUUCGGGGGGUACUCGAGUGGCGAACGGGUGAGUAACACGUGAGUAACCUGCCCUUGACUUUGGGAUAACUUCAGGAAACUGGGGCUAAUACCGGAUAGGAGCUCCUGCUGCAUGGUGGGGGUUGGAAAGUUUCGGCGGUUGGGGAUGGACUCGCGGCUUAUCAGCUUGUUGGUGGGGUAGUGGCUUACCAAGGCUUUGACGGGUAGCCGGCCUGGGAGGGUGACCGGCCACAAUGGGACUGGGAUACGGCCCAGACUCCUACGGGGGGCAGCAGUGGGGAAUAUUGCACAAUGGGUGGAAGCCUGAUGCAGCAACGCCGUGUGCGGGAUGACGGCCUUCGGGUUGUAAACCGCUUUCGCUCAUGACGAAGCUUUGUGUGACGGUAGUGGGUAAAGAAGCACCGGCUAACUACGUG